GUAGGGAAUAUUGGGCAAUGGAGGCAACUCUGACCCAGCCAUGCCGCGUGCAGGAAGACGGUCCUCUGGAUUGUAAACUGCUUUUGAAUGGGAAGAAACGUAGCUUUGCGAAGCUAUUUGACGGUACUAUUAGAAUAAGCACCGGCUAACUCCGUGCCAGCAGCCGCGGUAAUACGGAGGGUGCAAGCGUUAUCCGGAUUUAUUGGGUUUAAAGGGUGCGUAGGCGGCUUUAUAAGGCUGGGGUUAAAGGUGGCAGCUUAACUGUACGCAUGCCCUGGAAACUGUGAAGCUUGAGUGACUUGGAGGUAGCUAGAAUUCCCUGUAUAGCGGUGAAAUGCAUAGAUACGGGGAGGAAUACCGAUUGCGAAGGCAUGUUACUACGAGUAAACUGACGCUGAUGCACGAAAGCGUGGGGAUCAAACAGGAUUAGAUACCCCUGUAGUCC
Molecule: ribosomal RNA, 445 nt
Filed under: uncultured bacterium
Lineage: Bacteria
Description: partial 16S ribosomal RNA
Rfam family: Bacterial small subunit ribosomal RNA
Source: RNAcentral